GAUGAACGCUGGCGGCGUGCCUAAUACAUGCAAGUCGAGCGAACGGACGAGAAGCUUGCUUCUCUGAUGUUAGCGGCGGACGGGUGAGUAACACGUGGAUAACCUACCUAUAAGACUGGGAUAACUUCGGGAAACCGGAGCUAAUACCGGAUGAUAUUUUGAACCGCAUGGUUCAAAAGUGAAAGACGGUCUUGCUGUCACUUAUAGAUGUAUCCGCGCUGCAUUAGCUAGUUGGUAAGGUAACGGCUUACCAAGGCAACGAUGCAUAGCCGACCUGAGAGGGUGAUCGGCCACACUGGAACUGAGACACGGUCCAGACUCCUACGGGAGGCAGCAGUAGGGAAUAUUCCGCAAUGGGCGAAAGCCUGACGGAGCAACGCCGCGUGAGUGAUGAAGGUCUUCGGAUCGUAAAACUCUGUUAUUAGGGAAGAACAUAUGUGUAAGUAACUGUGCACAUCUUGACGGUACCUAAUCAGAAAGCCACGGCUAACUACGUG
Molecule: ribosomal RNA, 497 nt
Filed under: uncultured bacterium
Lineage: Bacteria
Description: partial 16S ribosomal RNA
Rfam family: Bacterial small subunit ribosomal RNA
Source: RNAcentral